This 450-nucleotide ribosomal RNA is filed under the name uncultured bacterium. RNAcentral describes it as "partial 16S ribosomal RNA". It matches the Rfam family "Bacterial small subunit ribosomal RNA", at positions 29 to 523 of the family's 1533-position model. The record is from RNAcentral.
AAUGAACGCUGGCGGCAUGCCUAACACAUGCAAGUCGAACGAAGGCUUCGGCCUUAGUGGCGCACGGGUGCGUAACGCGUGGGAAUCUGCCCUCAGGUUCGGAAUAACAGCGAGAAAUUGCUGCUAAUACCGGAUGAUAUCGCGAGAUCAAAGAUUUAUCGCCUGAGGAUGAGCCCGCGUAGGAUUAGCUAGUUGGUGUGGUAAAGGCGCACCAAGGCGACGAUCCUUAGCUGGUCUGAGAGGAUGAUCAGCCACACUGGGACUGAGCACACGGCCCAGACUCCUACGGGAGGCAGCAGUGGGGAAUAUUGGACAAUGGGCGAAAGCCUGAUCCAGCAAUGCCGCGUGAGUGAUGAAGGCCUUAGGGUUGUAAAGCUCUUUUACCCGGGAUGAUAAUGACAGUACCGGGAGAAUAAGCUCCGGCUAACUCCGUGCCAGCAGCCGCAGUAA